This 1232-nucleotide ribosomal RNA is filed under the name metagenome. RNAcentral's name for it is "bacterial SSU rRNA". It matches the Rfam family "Bacterial small subunit ribosomal RNA", at positions 8 to 1255 of the family's 1533-position model. The record is from RNAcentral.
AGAGUUUGAUCCUGGCUCAGGACGAACGCUGGCGGCGCGCCUAACACAUGCAAGUCGAACGAGCGAGAGAGAGCUUGCUUUCUCGAGCGAGUGGCGAACGGGUGAGUAACGCGUGAGGAACCUGCCUCAAAGAGGGGGACAACAGUUGGAAACGACUGCUAAUACCGCAUAAGCCCACGACCCGGCAUCGGGUAGAGGGAAAAGGAGCAAUCCGCUUUGAGAUGGCCUCGCGUCCGAUUAGCUAGUUGGUGAGGUAACGGCCCACCAAGGCGACGAUCGGUAGCCGGACUGAGAGGUUGAACGGCCACAUUGGGACUGAGACACGGCCCAGACUCCUACGGGAGGCAGCAGUGGGGAAUAUUGCACAAUGGGGGAAACCCUGAUGCAGCGACGCCGCGUGGAGGAAGAAGGUCUUCGGAUUGUAAACUCCUGUUGUUGAGGAAGAUAAUGACGGUACUCAACAAGGAAGUGACGGCUAACUACGUGCCAGCAGCCGCGGUAAAACGUAGGUCACAAGCGUUGUCCGGAAUUACUGGGUGUAAAGGGAGCGCAGGCGGGAAGACAAGUUGGAAGUGAAAUCCAUGGGCUCAACCCAUGAACUGCUUUCAAAACUGUUUUUCUUGAGUAGUGCAGAGGUAGGCGGAAUUCCCGGUGUAGCGGUGGAAUGCGUAGAUAUCGGGAGGAACACCAGUGGCGAAGGCGGCCUACUGGGCACCAACUGACGCUGAGGCUCGAAAGUGUGGGUAGCAAACAGGAUUAGAUACCCUGGUAGUCCACACCGUAAACGAUGAUUACUAGGUGUUGGAGGAUUGACCCCUUCAGUGCCGCAGUUAACACAAUAAGUAAUCCACCUGGGGAGUACGACCGCAAGGUUGAAACUCAAAGGAAUUGACGGGGGCCCGCACAAGCAGUGGAGUAUGUGGUUUAAUUCGACGCAACGCGAAGAACCUUACCAAGUCUUGACAUCCCUUGACGAUGCUGGAAACAGUAUUUCUCUUCGGAGCAAGGAGACAGGUGGUGCAUGGUUGUCGUCAGCUCGUGUCGUGAGAUGUUGGGUUAAGUCCCGCAACGAGCGCAACCCUUAUGGUCAGUUACUACGCAAGAGGACGGGCACUCUAGGGAGACUGCCAGGGAUAACCUGGAGGAAGGUGGGGAUGACGUCAAAUCAUCAUGCCCCUUAUGACUUGGGCUACACACGUACUACAAUGGCGUUAAACAAAGAGAAGCAAGAC